GAAGAGUUAAAGGUGACUUGUCCAAGGUCGCCUACCAAGAAAUGGGCAGGACCAGGAUGGGAGCCCAAGUUCUGACUCCUGCCAGGCAGUUCUCAGAGAUGUUGGGUGAAUGGUUACGUUUCUAGUUUCCUCACCCCCUACCUCAUUCCCAUAGACUCACAUACAACUGAGUUGAAAAUAGUUUUAUAAAAGUCUGUAUUGCCCUCUCCCCACAACAAUAGCUGAGAUUUAGAGAAGAUUUUCUAUAUGCAAGGCCUGGUGAAAGCUCUUAAUCUGCGUUCUCUUCAAUUCUUUUUUUACAGGCCUGGGAGGGAGUUUUCAUUCUAAUCUCCAUUCUACAGAUGAGGAAGUUGGGAUCCAGAGAGGCAUAGUGAUCUGACUCCCAGUCCAGUGCUCUUCCUACCACAUCCUGCUAAAUGAUACCCAGACAUAGAUAAGAAAACAAAGGCCUAAUGAGAUCAAGUACCCAAGGCCACAAGGUGAAGAAGUUGGAAUCACCUGGUUCAUUCUGACUGUAAAGCCCCACCACAUCACUAGCAGGAGAAGAUGGAGAAGCAUCAUCAUGUGACAUAAAAAAUCUGAAGCAAAAAAUUGGCAUUAUCAAGACUGCAGGCACCCAAGAGUCUUCACAAGCCAUCCUGACCCCCUUGCAAGAAUGUCAGGAGAUUUUGUUGGGUUUCUUGUGAUUCUAUUCACAGAUUCUUGUGAUGACAAUGGUGGGGAGUCUGGCUGAAAUCACUGUUAUUCUUAUCCACUUCCCCUGAGUGGUCCUUAAUUACAGAGACAAGGUAGAAGCCAAGAAGGCAAGGGUUAGAGAACAAAAGCGCUAUGGGAAUGCAGAAAGACAUCCUAAAUCUGCCUGAAGGAGAAUAGGCUUCAUCACUGUCACUGUCACUUCUCACCCAAACAGUCCCUGUGAGUGGGUAGAGAAACUGAGGAGACAUCUCUGGGUUUUUCCUGCAGGUCUUCUUGUCAUUCAAUUGUUCAGCAUUGCUCUGAAUACAGAAGUAACAUUUUUCUUGAUCUGUCAGCAAAUGGAAAUUUUCAGCCGCAAUUCAAAAAUUUCUCUAAGGGUUUUACCUCAUAAAGGAGUGUACCAAAGAAAUAGCUUCUCUGAGUGAGACAAUCACGUGUAAAUGGAAGUAGGAGGUAUAGCAUAGUAAUUAAGAGUGUAGGCUCUGGAACCAAACCAUCUGGGUUUGCAUCCUAGCUCUGCUAUUUGCCAGCAAUAUGAACUUGGCCAAAUUACUUAACUUCUUGGUGCCUCCGUUUGAUCAUCUGUAACAUGGAGAUCAAAUUUUUAUCUGCUUCAUAAGGUUAUUGUAAGAAUAAAGUGGGUUCAUAGAUGUGA
This is a long non-coding RNA of Sapajus apella (tufted capuchin), 1351 nucleotides long. RefSeq lists it as uncharacterized. The record is from RefSeq and is a predicted model, not a curated record. Lineage: Eukaryota; Metazoa; Chordata; Mammalia; Primates; Cebidae. The transcript has 2 exons.